RNAcentral lists this ribosomal RNA (547 nucleotides) under uncultured bacterium. Its description in RNAcentral is "bacterial SSU rRNA". It matches the Rfam family "Bacterial small subunit ribosomal RNA", at positions 355 to 896 of the family's 1533-position model. The record is from RNAcentral.
UAGGGAAUCUUCCGCAAUGGGCGAAAGCCUGACGGAGCAACGCCGCGUGAGUGAAGAAGGAUUUCGGUUCGUAAAGCUCUGUUGUUAGGGAAGAAUGAUUGUAUAGUAACUAUAUACAGUAGAGACGGUACCUAACCAGAAAGCCACGGCUAACUACGUGCCAGCAGCCGCGGUAAUACGUAGGUGGCAAGCGUUGUCCGGAAUUAUUGGGCGUAAAGCGCGCGCAGGUGGUUUAAUAAGUCUGAUGUGAAAGCCCACGGCUCGACCGUGGAGGGUCAUUGGAAACUGUUAAACUUGAGUGCAGGAGAGAAAAGUGGAAUUCCUAGUGUAGCGGUGAAAUGCGUAGAGAUUAGGAGGAACACCAGUGGCGAAGGCGGCUUUUUGGCCUGUAACUGACACUGAGGCGCGAAAGCGUGGGGAGCAAACAGGAUUAGAUACCCUGGUAGUCCACGCCGUAACGAUGAGUGCUAAGUGUUGGUCUCAUAAGAGAUCAGUGCUGCAGCUAACGCAUUAAGCACUCCGCCUGGGGAGUACGACCGCAAGGUUG